RNAcentral lists this transfer RNA (73 nucleotides) under Bos taurus (domestic cattle). It matches the Rfam family "tRNA". Rfam says of the family: Transfer RNA (tRNA) molecules are approximately 80 nucleotides in length. Their secondary structure includes four short double-helical elements and three loops (D, anti-codon, and T loops). Further hydrogen bonds mediate the characteristic L-shaped molecular structure. tRNAs have two regions of fundamental functional importance: the anti-codon, which is responsible for specific mRNA codon recognition, and the 3' end, to which the tRNAs corresponding amino acid is attached (by aminoacyl-tRNA synthetases). tRNAs cope with the degeneracy of the genetic code in two manners: having more than one tRNA (with a specific anti-codon) for a particular amino acid; and 'wobble' base-pairing, i.e. permitting non-standard base-pairing at the 3rd anti-codon position. The record is from Rfam by way of RNAcentral. Lineage: Eukaryota; Metazoa; Chordata; Mammalia; Artiodactyla; Bovidae.
CUCCUGGUGGUCUAGUGGCUAAGACUCCAUGCUCCCAAAGCAGGGCACCCAGGUUCAAUCCCUGGUCAGGGGA